RNAcentral lists this ribosomal RNA (255 nucleotides) under uncultured bacterium. RNAcentral's name for it is "partial 16S ribosomal RNA". It matches the Rfam family "Bacterial small subunit ribosomal RNA", at positions 239 to 490 of the family's 1533-position model. The record is from RNAcentral.
GAUUAGCUAGUAGGUGGGGUAACGGCUCACCUAGGCGACGAUCCCUAGCUGGUCUGAGAGGAUGACCAGCCACACUGGAACUGAGACACGGUCCAGACCCCUACGGGAGGCAGCAGUGGGGAAUAUUGCACAAUGGGCGCAAGCCUGAUGCAGCCAUGCCGCGUGUGUGAAGAAGGCCUUCGGGUUGUAAAGCACUUUCAGCGGGGAGGAAGGCGGUGAGGUAAUAACUCAUCGAAGACGUACCCGCAGAAGAAG